RNAcentral lists this ribosomal RNA (296 nucleotides) under uncultured bacterium. Its description in RNAcentral is "partial 16S ribosomal RNA". It matches the Rfam family "Bacterial small subunit ribosomal RNA", at positions 28 to 320 of the family's 1533-position model. The record is from RNAcentral.
GAUUAACGCUAGCGGCAGGCCUAAUACAUGCAAGUUGUACGGGAUUAUUGGUAGCAAUACUGAUAUGAGAGUAGCGCACGGGUGCGUAACACGUAUGCAACCUGCCUUUAACGUGGGGAAUAGCUCACCGAAAGGUGAAUUAACACCGCAUAAAAUCACAGAAGGACAUCCUUCAAUGAUUAAAUCUCCGGAGGUUAAAGAUGGGCAUGCGUCCGAUUAGCUUAGNGGCGGGGUACAGCCCACCAAGGCAACGAGUCGGUAGGGGUCUGAGAGGAUGACUCCCCCACACUGGUACU